This is an RNA transcript of Apus apus (common swift), 8233 nucleotides long. RefSeq lists it as uncharacterized. Lineage: Eukaryota; Metazoa; Chordata; Aves; Apodiformes; Apodidae. The transcript has 4 exons. The record is from RefSeq and is a predicted model, not a curated record.
CAAUGCAGUUCAGGGAGGCUCUUCCUGCCCACCGUGGAUGUUAUUCACGUCUCCUCUCUGCUGGCUGCUGAGAACUGCAGAAAAUGAAGUGUCGCCAUCAUCCUUUGUCCUGCAGGCAGCAAUUUUCUGCUUGCCUGUGGGAAAUAAUCCUCUUUUAAUUUAAUUAAUUCAUUUUUCAAUUAUUUAAUGCAGCACGCUGGGAUAGCAGCAAGGCUUUUGGUUAGUUUUCAAAUCGCUGCCACCUCAGACAGUAGAGCACUGGGAUCCAGCUCCCAGGGAGAAGGGAUUCAUUGUCUUUCAAGCCACUGCUUUUAUUAGGAGGGGUAUGUCAUGUCCCUUCUCUGGCACAUCCCCCAGAAGGUUUCCAUGCAUCCUGCCAGACUGCUCAGGUCCUAGGGAGGCUUGAUCCUGUCUGGCCAAAGUCAAUGGCUCCGGACACAAAGAGCUGGAUGGGGCACCAAUGACAUCCAGUGUUUCUCCUCUUGCCAGCAAGGAGGCUCCUUGGAGAGCCCCAUGAGCACCCUCCCUGCUGCCAGCACCUGUGCUGUGCUGUGACAUUUUCUAGCUUUGGAAAAGCAAAUGCUGAUCCUCCAUGGAGGCACUUUGCAUUGCUCUGUGCUGGCCCCUCAAGCUGGCACCAGGAUUGCUUCUGGUAUGGCUAGGGUCUUCAGGGAGACUGAUUUUUCCACUCUGAGCUGUAUCUGUUAGUUCCUGAAUGGCAUCAACUUUGAUGUGAGGUGCAGGAGUAAGCCCUAAAAGAUUACUACUGCUGUCAGUUGUGCAGUUUUUGGUAGAUGAAACUCCAUUCAUUUCUGUAUAGCUCAUUUUGUUUUAUGCCAGUGUAAGUGAGAGCAGAGUCAGGCCUUCCUCCUGCAGCAGCUAAAGUGAAAAACAUUUCUAUUUUUAAAACUGAAAGCAUUUUUUACUCUUAUUUAUCAUGUGUCACUUUGUUGGCAGUGAUGAUGUAAAUGGCACACAAAAGUUAAAUGAACUAUUUAUAGCACUGCUUAUGACCCUAAUGCUCAGCAUCACAAUAGUCGCCAGGCAUUGCUUGGCCAGCAGAACCAAGGAAGCCUGGGUUCCUGGGCACAGAUAAGACUGUUGGCCUAAAGCUGCUCUUUCUUCUUUAUGGAUAUCUGAUUUUGCACUGCUUCUGGAUGUCUAUUAUCUCUAAGCUCUCUGUAAAAUCUGGUCAAAACUGGUCAAAGGAUUCAAAAGCUGUUACAGGAAUAAGAUAAGAAGACCAGUGAGGAGGAAUUAAGAGAUUGUCUGAGCCUCUCUUUCCCCAGUAAAUGCAAGUUAAAAAAAAAAGGUUUUGGUGUUUGCUGCAAGGCAAGUCCUGGCUCCAAUAAACACCUUCCCAUGUGUGGAAACCUGCAGAGACAUCAGCCAGACUGGUAGGCAGUUGUCAGAAUCAGAGGAGGAAGAGCGGAGCAGCUCAUAGCAGCUUCUGAUGGUGCCUCCAAGACUCUCUCUGAAGAGCACAACCCCCCGCCCCGCCAGCAUGGGAUGAAGAGCUUCCUUUCUUUUGUCUUAAUUCACCUUUCUAACGCCUGGCUUGUGAGAGAGGAAGGCAGGGUUGAGGCCAGGGGCAAGGGCUGCUGAUUCUGGCAUCCCUUUUUCAACUGGGGACAGUGCAAGGAUGGCAGGAGAUAAGCAACACAGAACAGGCUUGGACUGACCCUCCAUCCUCAGGGGUGAUAGCAGACUCUUCCCCUGCUGAAUUUGCAGGCUUAUUGGAAUACAAAAUUAUACUUCCCCCCCCUCGGUGUUAUAGUAAAUCCAUUGGUAAAGUGUCUCAAAGAGACAUUUUGUCCCCUUGCACAGGAAGAAAUUUCCUUCCAGCUAGGAAAUUUAUUCUCUGUAAAAUUGAACAGGAGAAUAAGAUUUCCAGAGGCAGCCUGUGGCUGUAAUAAAGGAUUAUUGCCAAUUUCUUAGCUGUGCAGGCAGAGCUUGACACUCAGGUAGCAAACUUUGUAUGCCCAAAACCCCACAACCAGGGGUACACAAAUGUCAGGGUGCAGAGCCCUCACCAACCAAUGACUGAUGGUUUCGAGGAUGCUCAUCUCCAGGUGAAGAUCUUGUUAGCGGUCCUGUGAGGCUUCCCCAUGCUGAAUAAUGAAGCAAGUCAGUGGUACAAUGUUAAGCCCAGAACACUGUGGUUUUCCCUGAAUUUUCUUGGAGGCCAGUGGCCAACCAGCUCAUCUCCCCAUUUGCAAGGCAGAGGGGCCCUUUUUUGUCUCCUUCACAGGGGGGUUGUUACACUGAUAGCAUUAAAGACUGCAACAUGCUGCAAGUGCUAGGGCAGCCAUACGAAUACCAUGGGCUGAGAAAAAUAUAAAAUGCAAUAAUUUAAAGGCUCUUGUCUUUCAGUUGCUAAUGGCUUAAUUAAACAACAACAUUUAACAGAUGUGCUUUUUCUCCUCCAAUAAUUCACUCCAUCUGUGUCAACAUAACUAGGCCCAAAUUAGUGCUUCAAAAUGUAGAUGUUACUGUCUUAUUUCAGUUUUUAUGUAUUAAUGUACAUUUACAUAUAUAUUGUUUCAUCUUGUAGUGAGAUGAGUGCCUCCUCAGAAGGAGAUGUUGCACACUAUGGAGUUAAAAGAGCCUCUCUUCUUUUGUGGAGUGAGAACAAAAAAGAGAAAAAACCCCACACAAAACAAAACCAGAGACAUUCAAAUACUGAUGCCUUGAAAUGAAGAGAAAAUUAAGUCGGUAUUAAGGGUGUUCAAUACUGAGCUACAGAAUCUGUGGCUCUGUGCCCUUUCGGAUAGUGAAUAUUUUGUGACAUUUUGUUUCUGAAGUGAUUUUUCUCUUAACUUCACAUGCUGAGAAAAAAGCUUGCCUUGCUCUGUGUGAAAGCAGAUGACCAGAUGAAUCCUUGGGCUGGAGGAACACAUAACUUAGACAUAUCUGUAGAGAGCUUUGUUGUUUUAUGAAAUAGCUUUAAUAGUGUCAGAGACAAAUAUAGCUCUCCUGAUUGUUAUUAUUAUUACUUUAAAAAACCCUUAUUUGUGUUAAGUGCUUUCUUUAAGACACUCAGGAGUCCUUGAAGACCUCGUGGGCUGUGACCCAGAUCUUGCAAACCCUCCUGUGCGAUGGAUGCUACAUGUGGAGGUAGUUGCACUGCUGGGGCAGCAGGGAUGAGGACAAGGAGUGCAGCAGUCCUCACUGGCUCUGAGUUUCCCUGCUUCCUAACAUGUUCCACCUCCCACACACUGUGGUCUCAGCCUGCUUGGUAGUUGGGGUGGGAUGCUGCAGGUGCUGGGCACAGCCUGUGGGCUUCUACGUGGCUGUGUGGCAGGUCCCACCACCAGGCACUCCCAGCCUUGCUGUCCCCUGGGGAGUCUGCAGGCUGUGCUAGAGCCAGCUAGGUGUACAGCAGGGCUGAGGAGCCAGCACAGCAUGUUCCUGGCUGCUCCUGAGACUGGUCUUACAAGCCAUGCAAACUCUGCUGCUGAAUGCAUCUGAGUGAUGCCUGGGCAAGAACACUCCCAAGUCCAGACCCAUUGUUUCUUUACAGUCUGAACGGCUUCUUUUUCAUGUUUUGCUAUGAAUUCUUAUGAACUGACUGGGUUACUUGACUUUCCCCUAAUUUAAUUUGGAUUAAUUUAAUUUUAAUCAGUCUGUCUUCUCAGCAUCCUAUUAACCUUCCAAUGAACUCUUCAUAUAAGGAGACUGAGGAAGGAGACAGUCUACAUCUGUUAAAAUAUUAGCCUGCUCUUUGAGUUGCAAAGUAUUAGACAGCAGAAAAAGAGUUGAAAUGGUCAGAGAGGAUGGUGGGUGGUGACCCAACCCUGUUCUCACUGAAGACACCAGGAAAACUGAUCUAGUGUCUCCCUGGGUCCCUUUGGCGCAGCUCACCCUGGCAGUGGUGUGGAAAGCAGCUAGAGCUGUCUCUGCCAUGAGACUAAGAGGCUCUGGCUUUAGUGGUUCUGACCUUGCCACUCUGAAUCCAAGGGGACAUUCCAGACCAAGAGAAACACAGGGUCACUAGUAGUUUUAACCUAUACUUAACAGGAUUAGAGUUGUGUCUGCCUGGUUUUCCCUCCUGUCAUACUGCCCAAUUUGCCAUCUGCUUAAAAAUUUCUUCAGACUCUUAACCAAAUUCAAUUACAUACAUGUAUAUAAUAGAUUGGCCUCAAUGUUAGCACCUGUCUGGGUAAGUUUUGCUGACAAUCAGCCAUGGUAUCUUCAAAGCAUUGCCUCAAAGGAGAGCUGAACUUUGCUGAGACUGGCAAGGUGGCAGCAAGACUUUCUCCUGAGCCACUUCUAAUUCAAUAUUUUUUCAAAUAAAACAGGGUAGUUAAUAAGUCAAUUCAGCUAAGAAAGGUCUGGGAGAUGUGUGAUUACUUUGUAUUUCUUGUGAUCUGUGUGUAACUUCUCACUUAUCACCAGGAAGAGAGAAGGGUGGCUAACUGCAGGUCCUCAGCAUCACAGAAGUCAAACACCGCAGUCUCCUCAUUCUGACACUGGAAAAUUCCCAGUAAUUGCAUCCAAGUCUUGUCUGCUAAAGACUGACAUGUUGGUCACUUGAGUUACUCAGGGUCUAUUUAAUUUCUAUAAAAAUAGGUAUGCAAUGAACAUGUCCAUCAGCUAAUAGAAUAAUAGAUAUUUCUGAAACUCAGUGAGACUCUGCCAGUGGUCUCUGGAAAAGCUGUAUGCCAUUUUGCUUAGCUAAAUUUGCAUUCAGACUGACCAGGAUUUCUCUACACAAGUAGCUGAUACCAUCACCACCAGGGCUGUUAAUGCAGCCCUGAAAGGAGGAGCAGGGCUUUGGAUUAUUUCAAAUAGGAUGGAGAGUCCUUUAUGAAACACCCUUUUUAUUAGGAUGCAAUCUGCAGUAUGAAGUCCAGAAUGGAGAGAUAGGUGGUGGAUGUAUGCCAGUGCCACAGCCUGGUGCAGGGGACUGUGGGGACAUCUGCACAGGGUCCAGGAGCCAUCGGCUCAGCAGGACCAUGGCCCCAGGAUGCACCGUGUGAUGGUGACAGCCCCUGCAUGAGUUGUGCAAGACUUGCCCAAGGUCCACAUUACAGCUGGGGCUUAAAUGCCCAACUGCAGGCACCUUAAUCUCAAAAGUAAAGUCUUCCCCUGCUUACUAAGGAUAGUCAGCUCUGAUCCUGCUAACACCCAGGGCUCUGACAGAUGGGCUCUGACAGCCUUAGCUAUGGGUCUUGGGGUGUCAUAGCCCCCCCAUGCCAGGGUGCUCCUGGGCUGCCAUGGCAACUUCACUGAGUGAUGUGAGAGGUCAGUGCCUUAACACACUGCCCACAACACCGGCAGAGCCUGCUGCUCACAACAUCCCUCACUGGAGUCACUCCAGGCUCAAGCAGGAGAACACAGGGAAGGCAUUGCACGAGAACCGCCGUUCCUUUUGCUAAUGACUCCUCUAACACCUGCUCUAGCUUUGCCUGGCUUUGCGAUUUCUGCACUGGUUUGUGUGCACAGAUCUCCAACAGGGACUGAGGACUGGCACCACACUGCUCUUGGAGGAUUAGAGUUCCAUCAAAAAAACCGCCUUGGCAGAGCAUCAUUGCAAAGCCAACCCCUUGGAAAUGAAGAGCUGUUAAAAAGGACAUGAGUUGUGCAACUUUAUCUGAACAACAUCUUCAAUACACAGACUCUAAUGACUAAUAUAAUUGAAAUCUAGAUACUAUGUCUCCUUGGCAACAGACAACAUCCAGCGUGGACUAUCCCACUGUCGCCAGAUGCUGUGGGAAUCUCGCCACCCCAGUGGGCAGGAGGGCAAAGCCUGGAGCAGGAGGCAAGGAGCCUGUCAGCAGGGUGCCUGCAAGGGGAGGGUUGCAGCCAGUAGCCAGCCUGCCCUCAUCUCGGCUGUGCUCAGCCCCAGGAAGGCAGCAGGAGGCAGGAUCAACCAAGGACAGGAGAAACAUGCAGUUCUUCGCUCUUAGCACUUUCAUGUGGGGGACUGUAGGAUGUAAAAGGCCCCCAGUGGUACCAAUGUCAUGGCCAGGCAAUUCCCAGAACAUCAGGUGUGAGGCUGCAAAGAUGAGAAGCAUGUUGCAUCCUUUAAAAGUAAUCCAGCAGAAGGAAGGAGUUCGUGAAGAUAUGAGAGAAGCAAGGAUGAAUUCUUCUCUGUGGCUGCUCCUGAGCCUUCCUCACAUAUGGAGUCUGUGUUUGCCUUCUGGAUGCUCUUGGGCGUGGGCUGAGAAACUGAGGCAGUCAUGCUGUUCUUUCUUCCCCUGUGCUAUUUUCCAAGAUGGGCUGAGUGAUGCUCUGUUGCAUCCCUACUUUGUCUGCACUGUGGUCAUUCUAUCAUGGUGGGAGCCGGACCGGGACAGCCUGGAGCUUCUAACUUACUCAUGGGCACAUCCAGCAGCAGCAUCCCCAUGGCUGAGCAUGCAUCAAAAGGACAAUGGUGAGACUUUCCAUGUACAGGGCAAUGUUGUGCUUGACGCAGUAACCUCAGACAGAGCAUCACACUGGUGUGGCUCUGCCUACCUGUAGCUAGGCUGCCUCCUUGUGAGGUGUCUCAUGUAGGUCAACAUGGACAGCAUUGCACUGCUGGGUCAAAAUAGGUGGGCAGGGAAUGGACUCUGCAGGAGGAUGGGCUGGAUAGGCUGGGAUGUACCAGUCUGGGAUAGAUAUGGCUGCAGGGCAAGGGUGAGUAUGCAAGAGGUCUGUGAAAGGAAAGGGAAGGAAUUUUAAUUCCUUCUCACCAGGUUUAAAGUCAUAACAUACAUUUAUUAGGCAGCAGGUUUAAAAGAAGCAGGAAAAAAAAAAAAAAAAAAAAGGUAUUUCAGCAUCCAGUUGCCCUUUGAAGUUGUUGGCACAGGAUGUUUGGGUGCUGGGAGUUUGCAAGGGGUCAGAAAGCAGCUAGACAAAUUGAAGAGAGCAAAAUCCUUCAAGGGCUGCUAAGCACAUGGAUGUCACCUCUAGCCAGUGAAGUCCUUGGCUCGUGGCAUGCCUGCAGUUUCCUUAUGUCCUCCCUAGACACCUGCUCAGGCUGCUGGGCAGGGGCUGGGAGAAGCCACCUGCCCAGGAUGGCUGUUUUCUGUUCUUGCAGCCUGCUGUGAUGUUCUGGCAUUCCUCCUGAGUCAAUCACCGUGGCCGGCUUUGCCUCCUGGAGUUAGACAGCGGGAGGUCAGAAGCUGAAGUGACCUGGUGUGCUCAGCACAUCAGCUGAGCAAAGUUCCCCCAUGGAGCUACACGAGUCCCAGGCUUUGGUGAGGCCCCAGUGUAUUUGCAUCCCUACCACACAUGGAGGCUGCAGCAAGUAACAGCAAGUUAAUGAGUGGGCUGCUUUGCAGGUUGCAAGAUGCUCUAGAAUACGUUGCACGUAUUUGUCAUGAGGCUCCUAACUUGCUCUGGCCCUUUUUUCCCCACUUCAGGAGAAAGGCAGUCUUGGUUUUGCAGUGGAAUGUUUUGCUCCCUGUGAAUGAUUAAUGGCAGAUUAAAAAAGGUAAUAAUUAAAUGUGAAUUUCAGAGUUUCUCAUCUGGUGUCUUUUGUUGCCAUUUCACCGUGCAGCUUGAUGGCACUUCAACAAUAUUUCAUGAAAACUUUGCUGCAGCUCCCCAUUCCUGUGGCUCUGGGCUAAGAAACACCAAGGCUAUAAGGAGCCUUGAGCUUGACUAAGCUCACAGGGACAAAAAAUAAAAAACUUCAUAGCUUAGUGCUCAGACCUGCUGCCUGUUAACAGCAAGGAAGCUGGUUUUAAUUCUAGAGGUGCAAAUUAAACCAUACGGGAAUAAAGUGUGACCAAAACCUACAGCAAGCAGGUGAAACUCCUAACAAUUCAAGUGUAGGAAAGGAAAGGGAAGAGAGGCUGGGCUGUUGGGGAAGGGGCUCCCGGGACCCUUCACUACAAAAGCCUCCAGAGGAUCCCCCUGGGGAGGUCCCCGAGGAUGCCUGUGGGCCAGCCAGGAGCUGGCUGGUUUGUCAGGUUUGUCCCGAAUGGGGGUAGAUAGCAGACAAGAUGUAUAUACAGAGAACAAGAUUAAUUGCAAACAGCAUUGGGAUCUUAACUGUUUCAAAGUAAAAAGCACAAGCACACUCAAAUUGUGGGGAAAUUGGGAUGUCUGAACAGAAUGCUGAAGCUAUAAUGCAAAAGGUAUCUUAACAAUAAUGUACCACCAACAGUGAAAUCAAUCAAUAAAGGUAUACCAUUAAAAUGCUAGCAACUUGUUAACAAUUUUUAUACUAGAUCUAGAAUGUUAAUUACUGACUUCAAAAGGGUGCUAAAGUGUUAAAAAUUAAAACUUAAUGAAGAAA